UAAGUAGCCAUAUAUGACGAUGUCUCACGGUGAGACAGUUUCUAUCGAAAAAUACUUUCUCAACGCUUUGCCUAUAUAAUGGUUACCGUGAUUAUAGACAGUUAUGCCUCAUUUUUCUUUUGUUUCUUUUCCGGGGUUCCGUAUCAAAAAUAAACCGACAGCAGGGGCGAGGUAGCCGGGCCAGGCGAUAAACUGGGGGGCUGCAGCCGCCAGAGCAACACAGCAGAGGAAGAAGAACACCUAUGAUACGAUUAUAAGUUAUUGUAUUUUGUACCAGAAAUUUUGCUCUGUGACGUAAUAUAUUAUGUAUGUUUCAUUUGCGUUCGUUGUUAUUAUUAUUGUUAAAAUAAAAUUGAGUACAGAUUAAUUUAACCUAUAAAUCACCGUAUUAAAUCACAGGAAAAAAAUUGUUAUAAAAAAUGUCCAACGCUAUUUGUAUUUUUUUUUAAAUCGCCAACUAACUUAUCGCCUAAAACAACACUCAUAAAUUCGUAUGAGAUUCAACAACAAUUUUGAAUAAAAAAAAAAAACAUUUUAACAAAAAUGGAAUUUAAAGAUAUAAUAAUCAUUAUUUUCUAAAAAUUUACCCUUUAAGAAAAUCUAUUUAAAUUAGGGCAACUAAUAGCA
This 627-nucleotide unclassified non-coding RNA is filed under the name Melitaea cinxia (Glanville fritillary). RNAcentral describes it as "misc RNA ENSMCXG00005008120.1". Lineage: Eukaryota; Metazoa; Arthropoda; Insecta; Lepidoptera; Nymphalidae. The record is from RNAcentral.